UACGUAGGGUGCAAGCGUUGUCCGGAAUUAUUGGGCGUAAAGAGCUCGUAGGCGGUUUGUCGCGUCUGCUGUGAAAACUCGGGGCUUAACCCCGGGCCUGCAGUGGGUACGGGCAGACUAGAGUGCGGUAGGGGAGACUGGAAUUCUUGGUGUAGCGGUGAAAUGCGUAGAUAUCAAGAGGAACACCUGAGGUGAAGACGGGUGGCUGGGCUGACACUGACGCUGAGGCGCGAAAGCCAGGGGAGCAAACGGG
Molecule: ribosomal RNA, 253 nt
Filed under: uncultured bacterium
Lineage: Bacteria
Description: partial 16S ribosomal RNA
Rfam family: Bacterial small subunit ribosomal RNA
Source: RNAcentral